GAGGAGAGAGAGAAAGGACACCGCCAUGGCUGCAAACCCCUCGAUCCGGGUCGCCCCGCCAAGAUACGGGUCGGGUUUCUUCUCCCCCUUCUUCGCGAUAACAGCUCUGGAUUAAAAAAAAAACAGUAUCGUCACAGCCCAUCAGCAGAACCCAACGAAUUUUCUAGAGAGAGAAAGAAAGAAAGAGAGAGAGAGAGAGUAAGAGGAGAUGAUGGUGAUGAUGAUUGAUGAUCGAUGAGAAGCGUGUACGCAUAUACAUACAUACACACAAAGGGCUGUUUGUAGUUGUAGCAAAAUCGCAGUAGAAAAUCAUGGGCGAAAUGCGGAGAGGAGCAACCGCCCUUUAAGAAACGCCUCCGUCUCUCCGCCGCCUCAUUCCAGAGCGUUUUCAGAAUUUGGUAUUUUGCUU
This 409-nucleotide long non-coding RNA is filed under the name Erythranthe guttata (spotted monkey flower). RNAcentral's name for it is "long non-coding RNA (EGUT_LNC002886)". The record is from RNAcentral. Lineage: Eukaryota; Viridiplantae; Streptophyta; Magnoliopsida; Lamiales; Phrymaceae.